UUGUGCCUACGGGGCGCAGCAGUGGGGAAUAUUGCACAAUGGGGGGAACCCUGAUGCAGCAAUGCCGCGUGGGUGAAGAAGUACUCCGGUAUGUAAAGCCCUGUCAGCAGGGAAGAAAUGACGGUACCUGACUAAGAAGCCCCGGCUAACUACGUGCCAGCAGCCGCGGUAAUACGUAGGGGGCAAGCGUUAUCCGGAUUUACUGGGUGUAAAGGGAGCGUAGACGGCGAUGCAAGUCUGAAGUGAAAGGCGGGGGCCCAACCCCUGGACUGCUUUGGAAACUGUAUGGCUGGAGUGCAGGAGAG
RNAcentral lists this ribosomal RNA (305 nucleotides) under uncultured bacterium. RNAcentral's name for it is "bacterial SSU rRNA". It matches the Rfam family "Bacterial small subunit ribosomal RNA", at positions 332 to 656 of the family's 1533-position model. The record is from RNAcentral.